RNAcentral lists this ribosomal RNA (598 nucleotides) under uncultured bacterium. Its description in RNAcentral is "bacterial SSU rRNA". It matches the Rfam family "Bacterial small subunit ribosomal RNA", at positions 338 to 951 of the family's 1533-position model. The record is from RNAcentral.
CCUACGGGAGGCAGCAGUGGGGAAUUUUCCGCAAUGGGCGAAAGCCUGACGGAGCAAUACCGCGUGAGGGAGGAAGGCUCUUGGGUUGUAAACCUCUUUUCUCAGGGAAGAAAAAAUGACGGUACCUGAGGAAUAAGCAUCGGCUAACUCUGUGCCAGCAGCCGCGGUAAUACAGAGGAUGCAAGCGUUAUCCGGAAUGAUUGGGCGUAAAGCGUCCGCAGGUGGUUUUGUGUGUCUGCUGUUAAAGAGUUAGGCUUAACCUAAUAAAGGCGGUAGAAACUACAAGACUAGAGUACGUUCGGGGCAGAGGGAAUUCCCAGUGUAGCGGUGAAAUGCGUAGAGAUUGGGAAGAACACCGGUGGCGAAAGCGCUCUGCUAGGCCUGUACUGACACUGAGGGACGAAAGCUAGGGGAGCGAAUGGGAUUAGAUACCCCAGUAGUCCUAGCCGUAAACGAUGGAUACUAGGCGUUGUCUGUAUCGACCCGGACAGUGCCGUAGCUAACGCGUUAAGUAUCCCGCCUGGGGAGUACGCNGCACUGUGAACUACAAGAAGUAGACGGCGUGAGACGNGCCGACGGACGACGACGAGGGAGUAGG